AAGGGAGUCCCCUCAUCAAAGUACUCUGCAUCUAACUGAAUGACAAUCCUGAUGUCUUGGACCAGGAGUUCAUGGACAUGACUGAGGCCACUGCAUUGAGUGCUAUCGAGAAAACAAAGGUGGGCAUCUGUGUGUCCAGAGAUACGCCAGGUUGAUUCAAAGGGUGGUCAUGGAGUUGGAUGCACCUCAACUCUUGAGAAAAGCCCAAAACUUAAAGACAGAACUGCUCCUGUAAAGAAAGCUCACCGUUGUUGUGCACGUGAGGUGGUUAGCUCCAGGUGAGAACACAUUUAAAUCUCACACUUGUUCUCCUGCAUUUUGGAGGCUCAAUUUCCAGGAACAAAUCACAGCAUUCAUUGUUGCGCACUCUGUAACUGCCAUAAGCCCAUUUUUCCUUUUUCUCUCUGUACAUGUUCUCUGAUUGGCAGCAUUUUUCAAUUUUUUUUUAUUUAUUUUUUUGAAGAGAUGUAGAGUUAUAGAGUCUAAAUAGUCCCACUUGGGCUGUGUGGAACAGCAUUUUCAGUUUAAUUCAGUUGAAUGUGUGUUGAAUCCUACUAAGAAUCCUGUUUUGAACCAAGAUGUCACAAUAUGAUCAGGGCUGGAAUUUUUUGUCAAUCACUGUUAUUUUUGUGGCUCUUGAAUAAAGGUUUUGACAUGCAAGUGGUCCUUUUUGUCUUUUAGUAAUGGGGAAUGUUAAUAGGAAGGUGUUUGCUAAUCCAGUAACUUAUUUUAAAGUUAAUGGAAACUAACAUUACGUCAAAUUGUUUUGUUAUAAUUGUUGUUUAAUUGAAUCUUGACAUCAGAGGCCUUAAGCAGAAUGUUUUGUAUUGUUCUCUUCCAAGAUGGUUACUUGUAACAUUUUUCAAAAGAAAAGGCCUAAUUCCUAUGCCAUGACUGAUUCGACAAAACACUGAAAAACUGACAUAUUUCAGUAGAGGAGUAAUGUCAGUUCAAUUCUUUACCUCAGGGGUCUCAAACUUAAAUGAGCUGUGGGCACUGUCAUCUCAUUGGAGGGCCACUAGUG
Oreochromis aureus is the source of this 1024-nucleotide long non-coding RNA. RefSeq lists it as uncharacterized. The record is from RefSeq and is a predicted model, not a curated record. NCBI's taxonomy places the organism in Eukaryota, Metazoa, Chordata, Actinopteri, Cichliformes, Cichlidae. The transcript is spliced from 3 exons.